UUUUCCAUACUUGACCCUUAUUAUAUUUGGAAACAGCCCCUUAAACUCUCCUUGGAUUAUCCCUAUUUUGAAUCUGUCAUUUGUUUCCUGCUUGCAAAUGGCAGAAAUAAAUUUCUAGACUAUCUCCUCCUUUCUAGCCCCACCAUAAGUUUCAAACCCAAGUCACUACUAUUUUACCUAUCGUACUACAAAUCUGCAAAUCAGUGUUUCCACUUUCACUUCUAAUUCUUUUUCCAAUCUAUCUACCCAGAAGACAGACUCACCAUUGUUAAAGUAUAAUUAUACUAUAUGACUGGUUUUUUUUUUUAAAAAAGAGACAGAUUUUUUUUAAUAUUUAUUUUUUAAUUUUUCAUCAGACACAACAUCUUUGUUUGUAUGUGGUGCUGAGAAUCAAACCCGGGCCGCAUGCUACUGCUUGAGCCACAUCCCCAGCCCACUAUAUGACUGUUUUAACUAGAAAAUGUUCAAAUGAGUACAAGGUUAAAAAAAAAAAAAAAACUAUUGCUAUAGGCAAUCAACAAUCAGAUAGAAAACAGAAUUUGUUUAAGUUACAAUACCAUUUUAAAAAUAUCAAAUACAGAGCUGGGCAUGGUGGUGCACAUCUGCAGUGCCAGCUACUCAGAAAACUGAGGCAGGAAGAUCACCUGGGUUCAAGACUGAUCUGGGCAAUGCAGUGACACCCUGCACCUUAAAAAAAAAUGUAUGCAUCACAAAUACAGUGCCUAAUAAGGAAGAAAACAAAAAUAUACACAACGUGGCACCUAUGAAGUUCAGCUCACAUUAAAUUAUAAUCAAACAUGAGCAGGAAAAAAAAUUUCAGUCAGAAACUGGUGAAGAAAUAAAUAAAAUUAGCCGGGUACAGUGCUACACGUCUGUAAUCAUAGUGGCUCAGCAGGCUAAGGAAGAAGGAACUAAAAUUCAAGGCCAACCUCAGCAAUUUAUUAAGACCUUGUCUCAAAACACUUAAAGGGCUGGGGAUGUGGCUCAGGGUUUGAGCACUGCUGUGAUG
RNAcentral lists this long non-coding RNA (1009 nucleotides) under Marmota monax (woodchuck). Lineage: Eukaryota; Metazoa; Chordata; Mammalia; Rodentia; Sciuridae. The record is from RNAcentral.